UCUUGUCGGUGAUGAUGAAUGUCUAAUCCCAGCUCUAUGAGACUUUUUUCAAAGGUUUGGGAAUUGAAAUCUUAAUCCAACAUUUAUCUGAGCCUAAAC
RNAcentral lists this small nucleolar RNA (99 nucleotides) under Corchorus capsularis. Lineage: Eukaryota; Viridiplantae; Streptophyta; Magnoliopsida; Malvales; Malvaceae. The record is from RNAcentral.